RNAcentral lists this ribosomal RNA (323 nucleotides) under Loktanella salsilacus. RNAcentral's name for it is "bacterial SSU rRNA". It matches the Rfam family "Bacterial small subunit ribosomal RNA", at positions 408 to 749 of the family's 1533-position model. Lineage: Bacteria; Pseudomonadati; Pseudomonadota; Alphaproteobacteria; Rhodobacterales; Roseobacteraceae. The record is from RNAcentral.
AUGAAGGCCUUCGGGUCGUAAGCUCUUUCGCCAGGGAUGAUAAUGACAGUACCUGGUAAAGAAACCCCGGCUAACUCCGUGCCAGCAGCCGCGGUAAUACGGAGGGGGUUAGCGUUGUUCGGAAUUACUGGGCGUAAAGCGCACGUAGGCGGAUUAGAAAGUCGGGGGUGAAAUCCCAGGGCUCAACCCUGGAACUGCCUUCUAAACUGCUGGUCUGGAGUUCGAGAGAGGUGAGUGGAAUUCCGAGUGUAGAGGUGAAAUUCGUAUAUAUUCGGAGGAACACCAGUGGCGAAGGCGGCUCACUGGCUCGAUACUGACGCUGA